This 20-nucleotide small nuclear RNA is filed under the name Arabidopsis thaliana (thale cress). RNAcentral's name for it is "snRNA_19062". The record is from RNAcentral. Lineage: Eukaryota; Viridiplantae; Streptophyta; Magnoliopsida; Brassicales; Brassicaceae.
GUCUGAAUAAAUCAGUAAGC